UACGUAGGGUGCAAGCGUUGUCCGGAAUUAUUGGGCGUAAAGGGCUCGUAGGCGGUCCAUCACGUCGGGAGUGAAAAGCUGGGGCUUAACCCCAGUCCUGCUUCCGAUACGGGUGGACUAGAGGUAGGCAGGGGAGAACGGAAUUCCUGGUGUAGCGGUGAAAUGCGUAGAUAUCGGAAGGAACACCUGUGGCGAAAGCGGCUCACUGGACCAUUACUGACGCUGAUGCACGAAAGCUAGGGGAGCAAACAGG
RNAcentral lists this ribosomal RNA (253 nucleotides) under uncultured bacterium. RNAcentral's name for it is "partial 16S ribosomal RNA". It matches the Rfam family "Bacterial small subunit ribosomal RNA", at positions 524 to 776 of the family's 1533-position model. The record is from RNAcentral.